Long non-coding RNA from Hippocampus comes (tiger tail seahorse), 283 nucleotides. RefSeq lists it as uncharacterized. The record is from RefSeq and is a predicted model, not a curated record. The transcript has 2 exons. NCBI's taxonomy places the organism in Eukaryota, Metazoa, Chordata, Actinopteri, Syngnathiformes, Syngnathidae.
CCCGAGUGCCACAAUGUCGCUCGCACUACACACAAACAUUUGCUUUGCAUAGGUAAAGAAGAGUAAGGCACUCGCACAUAGCGCUCUCUUAGUUGAUGAAACAAAUGAUGCUUUGCUUCUCGGAUCAGUGUGCAUCUACGAAGCAAAUCAUCUUUAGAGUGAGACGAGUCAUGCAGCUCGACCGUGAACCUAAUUCGAUGUUCAUUUUGUUUUCUUUUCAUUUUCUUUUCUUUGUUUGUUUCCAAGUCUCUCUUCUGCCAACUAGAAGUACACAGGCCCUCGG